Long non-coding RNA from Haliotis rufescens (red abalone), 3938 nucleotides. RefSeq lists it as uncharacterized. The record is from RefSeq and is a predicted model, not a curated record. The transcript has 3 exons. Lineage: Eukaryota; Metazoa; Mollusca; Gastropoda; Lepetellida; Haliotidae.
UAUAGGUAUAUAAAUCUGGCUCGAGUGGAAGUGAGCCAGAACCCCCAUCAUCACUACUGCUUCGGUAUGGUUCCGGUUUGAUUUGUAGUACGGUUUGCUUUGGUUUGGUUCAUUUCAAUUCGGUAUGGUUUGUUUCAAUUUAUGGUACGGUUUGCUUCGGUUUGGCUCGUUUCGAUUUGGUAUUGUUCGCUUUGGCUCUUUUCACGUCGCUUUUGAGAUUGGUUGAUCAGGUCAAUGCUCAAAAUUUGUUGUGAUACAAAUAACUCAGAUGAUCAGGCUGAUGCCAUUUGUUCCCAACUGGUGAAACUGGUGACCCAAAGUGAAAAGACUGGACACAAGUAAAGAUCACAAGAUACAGCUAAUAGCUGUUUAGUGAUUUGCUCUGUUUAUUCAGGAGAUGUUGUAUUUUGCACAAGAAUAUUUUCAUUUGGCAUCUUCAGGUAUGUAUGGGGAGUUGAUCCUGGUAUGGUCGACUAGGUCUAUGGUAUGUGGUAGAAAAAUGUGUUGAUGUUUCCCAAGUCUUUAUGUGGAAAAAUAACCCUUUUGGAUUUAUAAAUUGGUAGUUCAGCCAGUUCAUACGGAUGAUAUUCUUGAGGCUUUUCUCCAUAGAACCACUGUGAGAAAUCCUUCCAGCUGUCAUCAAGGUAGCGCUGUAUGAGGUGGGGAGGAACACUUUCAAAAUAGUGUGUGAGGCAAUCAUGGUUAUCCUUGUUGUGGGUAUAUGAGACCUUGACAUUGCAGUCCCCUGGAAUAAUUUCAAUGCAUAACUCUCUUUAUUGAAUAAUCUACUUCUACUUCUCGCAGGUGUUUUGGAAUAAAUGGAUAUGGUUUGACAUCUAAUUCUAUGCAUGGUUUGGUGUUGUUUUGCUCGACAUUCCCUGACAGAACAUUGACUGAUGUAUUGUCUUGUGCUGAUUCCUUUUGGUCAAAAAACUUAUGAUUCUUCAGUGGACGUUUUUGUUGAUUUCCUGACAUUCUUCUUUUAAGGUGAAAUUCUCUCCGAAUGGAGUCUGGAAUACUGCUGCCAUACUCCCUCUUUCUGGAUCCUUCCAUUUCACUCUGUAGUAGAUUUUGCUAUUUGCUCUCUUGGAACUUACAAUUGAGUGGAUGUCCUCUGGAUUGAAAACCUGAGGGAUAUCUUUGGUUUGAUUACCUGAUGUUGGACUCUGACUUGGAGGUUGUACCUGGCUGUUGUCAAGUUGUUUUGCUGUUGUAUUUGGAGCAAGGUUUUUCUUCUUUGUUGGGGUCUUUUGCUUUAAAUUCUUGUUGCUGGAAGUGCCUGCCUUAGUUUUUGAAUUGUCCUUGUUACCUUUCUGUCCUGGAGGUGAUUGAUCAGUGGCUUGGUAAGUUGAACUUGUUGAUGGGGAAUUGUUGCUGUCAAGCUGAGUAUCAUUGACUGGUUCCUCAUUGUCAUCCAUGACUCCUGAAUCUAUGUUACUGGUGUCAUUGAGGUAUGGUUCUGGAGGACUGUGGACGAUCAGCAAGUCUAAUGGUGUUGUGCAUCCUUUCUUUCCCGUGGUGGCAACUGCCAAACUCUGAGUCAUGGUAGAAUUGCAGGACUUGAUUCCUGAGGGUUCUUGGGACUGCCAGCUGUUUAAUGAACUUGUCAGCAUGGCCUUUCUGUCUUUGUGGAAUGAAUCUGUAUAGGAUGCCUUCAUCAAUUUCAAAAGUAUUGGCUUCAAUAAGAAUCUUUUGACGAUCCUUUUCUUCUUGUGGAGGACAUCAUCCUCUUUGUAGUAAAAGAUUUGGAUGAAACCUGGACAAAUCCUUUGUCGAUGACGUAAGUUUGGAUGUUCUUUUAUACUUACCUCAACCAUCAGUAUUUGUAGAUUGUAAUGCUGCAACAACAUUAACUGGUACAGACUGAUAAUCCUCUUCAUAUUCAAAGGUGACUGACCAAUGUGUUGUCUGUGUGUCUGAUUCAAAGUGAUUGACAAUAGGUGUGCAAAUAUCCUCAUCUGAGUUGUCUGUGUGACCUGUGUUGAUGAAUGUGUGUUUGGCAAGAUUGUGGUAUUGCUAGUUAAUUUGCUUUGCUGAGUUGAAGUUACUGAGAUGACUGUUUUCUCAGCAUCUUCUUCAGUUUGGUCACUACAGUUAAUAUUUUCCUCAUAUUCCCUACGUGAGAGAGCAUCGGCAUUCGCAUUGGCUUUGCCCCUGCGGUGAACAAUGUCAAAAUUGUAGGUAGAAAGUUCCAAAGACCAUCGCCCUAACCUACCUGUGGCAUCCUUGAUGGAUUUCAGCCAUUUCAAUGCUAUAUGAUCAGUGUAGACUGUGAAUUUGGAAUUUGCAAGGUAUGGACGAAAUGAUCUAAUUGCUUCAACUAGAGCUAAGCCUUCCUUUUCUGUAAUGCUCCAGUUCUUUUCGCUGCCAUGAAGAGCUCUAACACCAAAAGCUAUUGGAUGUUCUUUAUUUUUCUCAUCUUUUUGACUCAAAACAAAACCUAUGCUCAUAUCACUGGCAUCAGUUGCGAGAAGAGAUUCUUUGUUAAAAUUUGGAUAAGCCAGAACAGGUGUAUUACUCAUAGCAUAUUUGAGUGUGUUGAAUGCCUGAUCACACUCAAGUGACCAUUGGAACUUUGGUUUCUUUCCUCCUCCUGCCUCAAAGCAAAGCAUUCAGUGGAAGCGCUAUGUGAGCGUAAUUUUUCACAUACUUCCUGUAGAAGUUUGUGAGGCCUAAGAAGGAACAAAUCUGCUUUUGUGAUUUGGGCACUGGAAAGGUUCUAAUUGCUUCAAUCUUUUUGUCAUCAACUUGAACACCUCCACAUGAUAAAACAUGACCCAGAAAAGAAACUUUGUCUGUUGCAAAAUUGCAUUUGGAUGGCUUUAGUGUUAAUUUUGCCUGUUUCAGAUAGUAAAAUACUUGCUCCAAAUGCUGGAGAUGCUCUUCAAAGAUUUUAUGGCUGGAGAUGCUCUUCAAAGAUUUUACUGUAAAUUAUCAAAUCCUCAAUGUAAAUCUGCGCAACCUUAAAACGCAACUUUCUUAUUACUUUGCUCAUGAGCUGCUGAAAACAAAGCGGAGAAUUUGUCAAACCUUGGGGCAAACGUUUAAACUGAUAAAGUCCUUGAUGGGUGACAAAAGCAGUUUUAUGCUUUGAAUCUUCAUGUGGCACUUGGAAGAAGCCAUUAACCCUUUCGCCCCGACUGCCCGAUUUAUCGGGCCGCAUAAACCGUGUCCCAGGACCCGGCUGCCCGAAAAAUCGGGCGGCUAUUGUCCAAGCCCCACACACGGCUGCCCGAUAAAUCGGGCGGCGCGACCGUGUUUACAAAAUCGCUCUUUCAACUUCCUUUCUCGUGUGUAAUCUUGUUCUAAAUAUGGAAACGAGAUCUACACGUGAUUGACACGUCAUUCGAUGGAAUUUCCCAGUCUUUUUGGCGUGAAAAUCGCGAAUGUCACCUGUUUUUGCGACAGGUAUUUUUCUCGCUUGAAUCGUAAAUCUAGCGUAAUGGCGUCCAACUACGAUUCGGAUAGCGAUCAGAUGACUAACAACGACUCUAUCGGGAAUAAUAAUGUGUUUGAUUUGAAUAAUUUACGUGAAGGGGAGAGGGAAUUCCGUGAAGAUUUUGGUGAAGAUUUUGACGGUUUCGACGAGGUGUCCCCCCCCCCCCCCCGCCAAGAAUGGGAGUGGCAGAGGGACCACAACGGUGGAGACAUGAGGGAUUUUGAAGAGGCGACCGGACUCAAGAAUAUAUAUUGACACGGUGAGUGAAAUAUCGUGCUAUUGAUUUUUUCCAACUGUUUUACAAUGAUUCUGUGUUUGAACAGAUUAUCAGUGCGACGAAUGAGAAUGCAGCCUACAGGUGAACGAGCGAUCACAACAACAACAAAGAUCAAUCUGUGAUAUCUUCUCUGUGAUGUCAUUCUUAUAGUAGCUGUGGUUCAAUGUUCAGAUGUGCAUGGAGAGAAUUUACCUGUAACACCUGGGAUUACCUGUGCCGUCC